GUGCCAGCAGCCUGCGGUAAUUCCAGCUCCAAUAGCGUAUAUUAAAGUUGUUGUGGUUAAAAAGCUCGUAGUUGAACCUUGGGCCUGGCUGGCCGGUCCGCCUCACCGCGUGCACUGGUCCGGCCGGGCCUUUCCCUCUGUGGAACCCCAUACCCUUCACUGGGCGUGGCGGGGAAACAGGACAUUUACUUUGAAAAAAUUAGAGUGCUCCAGGCAGGCCUAUGCUCGAAUACAUUAGCAUGGAAUAAUAAAAUAGGACGCGCGGCUCUAUUUUGUUGGUUUAUAGGACCGCCGUAAUGAUUAAUAGGGACAGUCGGGGGCAUCAGUAUUCAACUGUCAGAGGUGAAAUUCUUGGAUCAGUUGAAGACUAACUACUGCGAAAGCAUUUGCCAAGGAUGUUUUCAUUAAUCAGGAACGAAAGUUAGGGGAUCGAAGACGAUCAGAUACCGUCGUAGUCUUAACCAUAAACUAUGCCGACUAGGGAUCGGACGGUGUUAUUCAUGACCCGUUCGGGCACCUUACGAGAAAUCAAAGUGCUUGGGCUCCAGGGGGAGUAUGGUCGCAAGGCUGAAACUUAAAGAAAUUGACGGAAGGGCACCACCCAGGGGUGGAGCCUGCGGCUUAAUUUGACUCAACACGGGGAAACUCACCAGGUCCAGACACAAUAAGGAUUGACAGAUUGAGAGCUCUUUCUUGAUUUUGUGGGUGGUGGUGCAUGGCCGUUCUUAGUUGGUGGGGGUGACUUUGUCUGCUUAAUUUGCGAUAAACGAACGAGACCUUAACCUGCUAAAAUAAG
RNAcentral lists this ribosomal RNA (796 nucleotides) under uncultured fungus. Its description in RNAcentral is "SSU rRNA". It matches the Rfam family "Eukaryotic small subunit ribosomal RNA", at positions 564 to 1360 of the family's 1831-position model. The record is from RNAcentral. Lineage: Eukaryota; Fungi.